This 5072-nucleotide long non-coding RNA is filed under the name Marmota monax (woodchuck). Lineage: Eukaryota; Metazoa; Chordata; Mammalia; Rodentia; Sciuridae. The record is from RNAcentral.
GUAUAUUAAUGAUAGUGGUAGCCUCACAGCUAUAAUAGUUAUGAAUAAAUAAUCAUAUUCAUAAAGAAAAUAGGUAAAAGAGUAAGAUAUAUAACUGUAUAUCACUCUGGUUGGUAAUCAUGUCCACCAGCUUUAUAACAUCUGAAACUCAGUAAUGGACAAUCUACAUCUUUUGAUGGGAUCAAUCAAACACCAUGAUACUGGAUCAAGCACAUGGCAGUACCAGGUGGCAUUCACCCCAGGUACCCCAAAAAAGCAGAAAGACAGCUGACCCUGUACCAAACACAUAUGGUAUCUCCUCCCUGAGCUAGCUGGGUACAUGUUUAGAUAGUGAUGACAGCAGAGGCAGCCACUGAGCCCCACUCAGACCCUUCCCCAGGUUAGGGUGUAGAUUCAGCCUCUUUGGAGGUUGGAGGAAUUGGUGGUUGGGUCAGGAGAUAGUGGCACUGAUCAAAGCCAUGACUGGACAGGCACCAGCAUCCUCCAAGGCUGGUGGGGCCAGCAAGGGCUUACAACCAGUGACUUCUAUUCCCCACCAACCAUCUAGCACCCCUUGCCUCCACCUGGUAUAGUGUUGAGGUUUGCAACAUCUCCCAGUGAUAGCAUGACCUCUGGUCUUCUCUUGGAUGAUGCUUGAGACAUCAGUCAUGCUUUGGUCAUGAGGCUGAGCCCAACUAUUCCCAGUUGAUUCUAUCCUUUCCCUUCACAAAAUUAUCUGAAGCCAAUAAAAGGAACCAUUUAUUCCCCAACAUUAAUUCACUGUGGAUCACCAUCAGACCAAAUGCAGAAAUCUUGAGAAAUUUUAGUGUUCACACCCGAAGAUUAACAACAAAAAAGCCAUCUUUUCAUUUGUUGGAGAAAUUUUAAUGUUUUUCUAUCCAUGUAGAAUGUUUACACACAAAGCCAACUUUGUAAUAAUGUACUUUUGUGGAGUUAAAUUCACAAAACAAUGCAUAAAAAAAUUAGUAUACUAAAAGUCUUUACACAAUUUUUAUCUUUGGUAUUAGAAAUGAAGAGAUGAAAUAUAUAGCAUAGAGAAUUAUAAAACUAAUGCUAACACUUUAAAAUAGUAGAAAAAUGCUAAAAAUGAAAAAGAAAAAACAAAAAACCCAAAGAGAGAAUUUAUCAUAUAAAAAAGGUGCAUCCCUGUAAUCUAGUGGCUCGGGAGGCUGAAGUAGGAGAAUUGCAAGUUCAAAGCUAGUCUCAGCAAAAGUGAGGUGCUAAGUAACUUAGUGAGACCCUGUCUCCAAGUAAAAUACAAACUAGGACUGGGGAUGUGGCUCAGUGGUUGAGUGCCCCUGAAUUCAAUCCCCAGUGCCCCUCCCCCCAAAAGUAUGUUACCAGGAUACAUUAUGGACAACUGCAGAAAGGUUAUUCAUAAGAACUGGUCAUCUUUUACAAUCAUUAACUAUAUUUGGAAAUGCUGCAUCAUGAUGAAUAGCUAUUUUUUUUUCUUGGAACCUUGGAGAACACAUUCACAUUCUUAACUCUGACGUGAUUUGAUAUACACUGGCAUGAACACUCCCUCUUGAAUUUUCCCAUCUUCUGUUCCAUAUUUCUAAGUUGUGUGGGCUGCACAGAAAACUAUUCUUCAUUUGUUCAUAGAGACCACAAAUUUGGUGGAAACAGUACUGGUAAUCAAAUACCAUUGCGUAAGUGGCUUCUUACCCUCCACAUAAUAAAUUUCAAACUAGUCAAUUACUUUGCUGAAUUAUUCAGGCAAAUAUGGCUUUAAUUCAUUAAGAGCUCCUGGAAUUUCAUCAGCUGGAAGGAACACUAAAGCAGACAAAUGACACGUUUUGAAACGAAGGAUUUUUUGUCAUUGUUCUAUCACAUGGUCAGUCCAUUCAUCUGAAUUUCCUACCAAAUCCAUUGGAAUGAAUAGAGAAAAAAAUAAAACUUUGUUGGUAACACAUUGAAAUCCACCUUUGGAGGUCUUGAUCAUAUUCAAUUCCAACUGUGUCAUUACAAUUUGGGUAUUCAAUUAAAAUGAUUCAAAGUUCUUAAAAUCUUCAAAUAAGCAUCUAUAAAGUGCUUCACUUUUUGUAGUCAUUAACAUGGAAACAAGUGAAUAAGUUUUAGAGUUUUCAGGUCCGAAAAGGACAUAAUUCAUAUAUAUUUGAUUAAAAAAUAGCAAGAGAUAGUUUUGAAUGUGCCAUCACUUAGCCAAAUGAAAAGGCACUAGGGUUUUUUAAUGUUAGAUAUAGUGUAAGUCUGUCUUCUUCAACAGACAAAUCCCUAACCAAACCAGUUCACCAUUUAAUACGUUUUGUAACACUAGAGGAACCUCCACAUCACCAAGUAUUUUGGGGGUGGAAGGUUACUGAGCUUGUCAAAUUCUCUUUAUUCUCUGAUUAUGUGUAAAGGGGCAGAGAUUGGAUAGUUUGGAAACUUUCCUGGUGCAACCCAAAAUGCCUUCAUUCCUUCUCCAGAAUGUAGUCUUCUACCCUUCGUAUCUAGCAUUUUCCCCCCAUGGGAAUUGCAGUGCCUUGUGAGUUUUCCUUGAUGUUAAUGUGUCUCUCUUUUUUUUUUUUCUGCUUUCAAAUUUUCUUCUUCUUCUUCUUCUUCUUCUUCUUCUUCUUCUUCUUCUUCUUCUUCUUCUUCUUCUUCUUUUUUUUGCCUUUGCCUUUGCCUUUCUACAAUUUGAUUGUAAUGUGUCUUGAGAUGUUCUGAUUUGGUUUGAUCUUGCUGAGAGUCCUUUAAGUUUCAGGACUCUGGAUUUCAAUAUAUUUCUCCCAACACAUGAGAAGCUUUUAGUCAUUAUUUCCUUAAAUAAGCCUACUGCUUCUUUCUCUCCCUCUUUUCUCUCCCUGAACUCCAAUUAUUCAUAUACUUAUUUGCUUGAUAGUUUCCUUAUAGUUUUUUCACUCUUUUAGUUGUUAUAUUUUGUGUGCCUCUAAUUGACUAAUUACCAAUGUUGUCUCUUCAAGUUUGCUGUUUCUUUCUUCUAUAUGUCUGAUUCUAUUGUUUAAGCUUUACUCUGUACUUUUAGUCCUACUAUUGUAUUCUUCAACUCUAUGAUUUCUAUUUGAUUCUUUUUUAUGAUUUCUGUUCCCUUAUUUAACUUCUAGUUUUGUUUGUGCAUUAUUUUCCUGAUUUCAAUUGUUUGACUAUGUUCUCUUUCAUCUCAUUUGGCUUAAGAGAUAUCUUUGUGUAUUUUAAUUGGCAACAAAUAGGUCUACAUUUCUAUAGGAAUGAUUGCUGGAGUUUCCUUUGGUGGUGCCAUGUUCUCCUGUUCUUCAUUAUUCCUGUCAUUUUACAAACGAGCUAACAUUUCUUCUCAUUUUUAAAGACUGCUUUCAGCAGAUAAAAGACCUUCUCCUAUUGGGUCUCUGGACUGAUGGCUUCUAAUUGAGUGAAGUUGGGUCACAUAGCUUUUUCUGAGACUAUAGAGGUGUCUGCAGUUGUUGGGCCUGUUACCAGGGGGCUGAGUGGGCAUGGAUCAUCUAGUCCCUGGGAAGACUGAACAGCCUCUAGGAUCUUGGUCAAUAGAACUGGCAUUGAAAUAAGGUUCUAUUUCAGGUUUGCCUUUUGGGUCCACAGAUGGUGGGUCUGUUACCAGCUGUGAGUUUCUCUGGGUCCCUGGGAAGUUUCUCACUGGGCCACUGAGUUGGCCCCAGUCAAUCAGAACUGCUCUUGGACUAUGGCUGAGAGAGGGACCAAGUCAGAGAGUGACUUAAAGGCCUUCAGUUGAGACUGAGCUCUGGAGGGCUGGGAUGAGUGUGCCUCAUCUGAAGCAGGACUGCUCUCAGACCCAGAUGAGAGGGUUGAGAGGUGAGUUUCAGGAUUUUCUGAGGGACUAAGGUUGGAAAACCUACCUUCUAGGGCACAUGGAGUCAUUUCUCCCUUUAGAACCCUGGGUCCCAAAGCUCCCAUAAAGACAUUUUUGUCCAUGUAUGAAGACCAAAUUCCUGUUGUUGUGGGGGAAACAGUCAGUGGAUUUCCUAUUCUACCAUCUUGCUGACCCAGACAAAUGACCUUUAUUGUGAUUAUUAAUAUUGUUGGGUUUGAGUCUAUAAUAUUGCUUUUUGUAUUCUAUUUGUUCCAUCUGCUCUUGGUUCUUUUUGUUCUUACUUUUAUUUUUUGACUUCUUUUAUAUUAACGCACAUUAGAAAUAAUGUACUUACUAUUUUUUUUAAAUUUCCUUUGUUAGUUUAUGAAUUAUAAUUCUUUAUUUUGUUUGCUUUGUGAAUUAACUAUCACUGUAUAAUUUGAAUGAUAGUACACUAAUUCAUGUGUACCCUAAGAACCUUACAAUAACAUAUUUUCAUUUUCCUGCCCUGCAUCAUUAUACCAAUGUAACAAUAAUUUUUUUAAGUGUUAUGAGCUUCACAUGCAUUGGAAUUAUUUAAUUUAAGAAGGAAAUUAAUUUUUUAAAGAUUUAAAUGAUAAUUAAGAAAGCCUCAUGUAUUUGCCCAUGUAGUUAUGAUUUCUAGUGCUCUUCAUUCCUUUGUGUUGCAUAUUUCCAUUGGGUAUUAUUUUCUUUUGUCUGAAGGACUUCCUUGAAUGUUUCAUUUAAUGUGGGUCUGAUGGUGAUGAAUUUUCAAAAUUUUGUAAAUAUGUAGAAGUCUUUCAUUUGUUCCUAUUUUUAAAAGUUAUUUUCACUAGAAGCAGAAGAGUGUAUGUUAUUUUGAAGGUUAGGAAAGACAUAAUUAAAACAAGAGUUUUACACAUACCAAGUGCUUAGUGUAAGCUAAAAGUACUCCGGAUUCAGCCUUAGUAUUAUUUGCAAUGCACAGACUUGAAGACCGAGACUUAGGUUAAGUAAGUUGUCUAAUAUCAUACACCUAGCAAGUGGCAAUGUUUGUGUGGUAUUAGAAUCUGUAAUCUUAACCACAAUGUUCUAUUGCCUAUUAAGAAGGGAGGGAGCAGGGUGUUAGCAAUGAUGGUGGGGGACAUCAUUAUCCAAAGUACAUGUAUGAAGACAUGAAUUGAUGUGAACAUACUUCAUAUACAAACAGAGAUAUGAAAAAUUGUGUUCUAUAUGUGUAAUAAGAAUUGUGAUUCAUUCUGCUGUUCAUGCAUUUAAAAAAUAAAACAAUUAAAUAAAAAAGAUAGAGAAUAUGUCAACA